RNAcentral lists this ribosomal RNA (509 nucleotides) under uncultured bacterium. RNAcentral describes it as "bacterial SSU rRNA". It matches the Rfam family "Bacterial small subunit ribosomal RNA", at positions 28 to 528 of the family's 1533-position model. The record is from RNAcentral.
GACGAACGCUGGCGGCGUGGAUUAGGCAUGCAAGUCGAACGGUAUCAUCCUUUCGGGGGUGAGAGAGUGGCGAACUGGUGAGUAACACGUAGGUUAUCUACCCUCAAGACGGGGACAACCCAGGGAAACUUGGGCUAAUACCGGAUGUGAGCAACUUUUAGUUGUUUGAAAGGUGGCGUAAGCUGUCGCUUGGGGAUGAGCCUGCGUCCUAUUAGUUAGUUGGUGAGGUAACGGCUCACCUAGGCAAUGAUAGGUAGGCGGCCUUAACGGGUGGUCGCCCACACUGGGGAUUGAGAUACGGCCCAGACUCCUACGGGAGGCAGCAGUCGAGAAUAGUCUACAAUGGUCGGAAGACUGAUAGUGCGACGCCGCGUGAACGAUGAAUCCCUUCGGGGUGUAAAGUUCUUUUAUAUGUGAGCAGUGCUUCUUAUAUUAACAGUAUGGGGAGAGAGAUAUUAGCAUAUGAAUAAGCAACGGCUAACUCCGUGCCAGCAGCCGCGGUAAAACGU